RNAcentral lists this long non-coding RNA (774 nucleotides) under Bos taurus (domestic cattle). RNAcentral's name for it is "long non-coding RNA NONBTAT026952". Lineage: Eukaryota; Metazoa; Chordata; Mammalia; Artiodactyla; Bovidae. The record is from RNAcentral.
GACGAUAAUGUCCUUCCCAACCAUAAGCUAUAUGUUAGUCAGCAGAUGGAAGCCAUGCUGCUAGCUAGGAAGGGACCAUUAAUAACUUCAUCAAUACCGGAUGUUUGUUUAUUCUUUGUAAAAAGAUAGCUUUUACCUUGAGUUCCUGGUCCAUCAUUUAGAGAGAUCAGUACCUUCUGGCUUGAAAACAAGAGGGCAGAUGACGUUUUAAUGAACUUCAAAAGUGACUAGCCAUUGACAGAUGUAUUAGUUCAUUAAAUAUGAUAGAAUAUUUCAAACUAGCAGAUAAUCAGUUGUUAUCAAGAGAAGUUUAAACUGUUUUUGUUUUUUUUACUAACAGGUUGCUAGUCAAACUGCGUGACUGAGAGAGGUGUUCCUAUGAGAGCUUUUACUGUGACACAGGUUGUCUUGUCUUUUCAGCAACCCAUCUCAAAAUGUGAUUCAUUAAGAAAUAGAAAGGCAUUAAGUCCUCAUCAGGAUGGUUGCUGAUAUUCACAAGUGUACAGUGAGAUGGUUCGUAGGCCUGGGACCUACUGUCACACAAAUUGGUGUUUCGAAAGUGCAUUUACAGGGUGAUCACAGGUGGAGUGUUUUAUUUGGCCUGUUUGUAGAAUUGAAGCCGCCUUCCCUCAGCGGACUGCGUAUCCCACUAGGCACACUUUCCUCCUUCAGCCAAGCAGACGAUCCACAAGCAGGGGUUAACAGUCUUGCUCAGUGUGUCUGACUCUGCCCUGGCCACCGCCUUCCCCUCAAUUCAGGGACUCAGCUCUGGUU